AGCAGUCGCCGCGGUAAUACGGAGGGUGCAAGCGUUAAUCGGAAUUACUGGGCGUAAAGCGUGCGCAGGCGGUUAUAUAAGACAGAUGUGAAAUCCCCGGGCUCAACCUGGGAACUGCAUUUGUGACUGUAUAGCUAGAGUACGGCAGAGGGGGAUGGAAUUCCGCGUGUAGCAGUGAAAUGCGUAGAUAUGCGGAGGAACACCGAUGGCGAAGGCAAUCCCCUGGGCCUGUACUGACGCUCAUGCACGAAAGCGUGGGGAGCAAACAGGAUUAGAUACCCCUGUAGUCCCUGUCUCUUAUAA
Molecule: ribosomal RNA, 303 nt
Filed under: uncultured bacterium
Lineage: Bacteria
Description: partial 16S ribosomal RNA
Rfam family: Bacterial small subunit ribosomal RNA
Source: RNAcentral